Molecule: ribosomal RNA, 301 nt
Filed under: uncultured bacterium
Lineage: Bacteria
Description: partial 16S ribosomal RNA
Rfam family: Bacterial small subunit ribosomal RNA
Source: RNAcentral
CAGUCGCCGCGGUAACACGUAGGGUGCAAGCGUUAAUCGGAAUUACUGGGCGUAAAGCGUGCGCAGGCGGUUAUGCAAGACAGAUGUGAAAUCCCCGGGCUCAACCUGGGAACUGCAUUUGUGACUGCAUGACUAGAGUACGGCAGAGGGGGAUGGAAUUCCGCGUGUAGCAGUGAAAUGCGUAGAUACGCGGAGGAACACCGAUGGCGAAGGCAAUCCCCUGGGCCUGUACUGACGCUCAUGCACGAAAGCGUGGGGAGCAAACAGGAUUAGAUACCCCAGUAGUCCCUGUCUCUUAUAA